This 157-nucleotide ribosomal RNA is filed under the name Aspergillus ochraceoroseus. RNAcentral's name for it is "5.8 S ribosomal RNA". It matches the Rfam family "5.8S ribosomal RNA". Rfam says of the family: 5.8S ribosomal RNA (5.8S rRNA) is a component of the large subunit of the eukaryotic ribosome. It is transcribed by RNA polymerase I as part of the 45S precursor that also contains 18S and 28S rRNA. The record is from RNAcentral. RNAcentral also lists the same sequence under 1 other name. Lineage: Eukaryota; Fungi; Ascomycota; Eurotiomycetes; Eurotiales; Aspergillaceae.
AAACUUUCAACAAUGGAUCUCUUGGUUCCGGCAUCGAUGAAGAACGCAGCGAACUGCGAUACGUAAUGUGAAUUGCAGAAUUCAGUGAAUCAUCGAGUCUUUGAACGCACAUUGCGCCCCCUGGUAUUCCGGGGGGCAUGCCUGUCCGAGCGUCAUU